This 7459-nucleotide long non-coding RNA is filed under the name Olea europaea (common olive). RNAcentral's name for it is "long non-coding RNA (OEUR_LNC012420)". Lineage: Eukaryota; Viridiplantae; Streptophyta; Magnoliopsida; Lamiales; Oleaceae. The record is from RNAcentral.
AGAAUCGUAUGAAGGUUGUGAUUGAUCAAUAAAGGAUUCGUCACUCUUAGAUAGUAGGAGAUUAUGAUCUGCAUUUCAUUCAGUUAAGUCGAUGAUGAAAUCCUUGGCCAAAGUGUACUCCUAAGUCGAAAAGGAGUUUUCGAGUUAUAUUGACUUAAUAGUGGAAUGAAAGAUAUAAUCAAUGAUUAAGAUUAACACAAUUCCAUAUCUCGUAAUUGAUCGGAUCGUAUUGACGAAUGGAUAAUAGUUUCACGGUAAACGAACGAAUUUGGUUUUGUCAUACCACGUGACAUUUCCCGUCACAUGUAUUGCCCUGACACAUUGCUAGAUGUCAAUCAGGGACGGCGAGUGGGAAUUGACGAUAAAUUAAAAGGGUGUAUUAAUUUAUCAAUUUUGAUUAGAUCAAAAUAAUAUUUCACGACGUUAGGCAUCGUAGUCAGGAACCUAAUGGGUCGCACACAAAAGAGAAUUGGAAGAUUGCAAAUUGUCAAUUGGUUAAUUUAACAAUCGUUGGAUAAAUUAAUUAAUUGAAUUUGUUAUUUAUAAUCCCGAAUUAAUUAAAUAUUGGACCGGACCGGGCCGGGUCCGUUUGGGUUUAUAUAUAUACACAGCUAGGGUUUGAGGUCCAAAAAGGGUUUUCAUUAUUCUUGCUAGCACAAGAGAGAAACCCUAGCGGUUGCAAUCUAUUCUCUGUGUGAAUUUCAUUGGAGGCUGGACAAUUGGACAGCUGUGGGAGGCAGAUUCAAGCUACUGGAAAUGAAUAACGCAAAGGAGUUUGCAAAUUACAAGAAAAAGGUAUAUUUCUUAUCACAGUUUUUAUCUAAAUAUAAAGUUGAAUCCUGAAUGGGAAUUGAAACUUGUUAAAUUUUGCUAUGCAUGUUUAAGUAAAUUCCCUACAACGGUAUCAAAGCCAACUUUGUAUUUGUUAGGAACUGUUUAACGUGUUGAUUAAAUUAAAUGUUAGUUUAAUCAUGUUCAUUCUUAAAUCUAGCAAAUAUAGUUUUAAUUUUUUUUUUGGUCUUUUUGGAUCUGUUCUUGAAAAAAAAAUUUGGGGUCGUGAGGCGAGUGGUGCAUCCGCGCGCCGACAACAACCAGCAGCGGGAGCCGCUGCUUCUGCAGCACCUCCGCGCUGCUGGUUAUUUCUGACGCACUGGCGCCGCCCCAGAAAGAAAAGAAAUUUUUUUUUUUUUAGGUUUAGGGUUUUGGUGGAGACGGGGGCCUCUGUUGCAAUUAAUGUAAUUAGGGGCCCCUGGUUGCAAUUAUAAAAAAGGGGUCAAUUUGCAAAUUUUAAAUCAAGGACCUGUUCUGUAAAUUUCGAUUUUGGAAGGGUCUGCUGUUAAUUUCAAUUUGGGUAAAUUUUGUAAAAUUUCAAAAAGGAUUUUGAUUUUGAAUUUUGAAUUAUUUUAAAAAUGAGUUUUAAACUGGGUUUGACCCAUACCCUAAUUUUGACCCAGAAUUAAAAGUUUUAUUUAAAAAUUUGACGACUUUUAUAUUUUUGUUAAAAUUAGAUUUUAACUUAAAUAUUUAGUUUGACCCUUAAUUGAAUUUUUAUUAUGUUUGGGAAUUUUGUCCUAAAUUAAAAUAUUAAUUCAAUUUUAUUAGAGUUGGACUCUGAUAUUAAAUUAAUUAAAUUUUGUUUUGAAUUAGCACCACUUCCCUAUGCAAAUUAGAAUUUAGAGUAUGACUCUAAUUUAAUAAUUAAUUAAAAUUCGAUUUUGAUUAAAUUACUUCACCCAAUAGUUAAGGAUUUAGAGUUGGACUCUCAUUCGACAUUUAGUUAAAAUUAGAUUUUAAUUAAAUUGGCCCGUCAAUUAAAUUAAUUAAUUAAUUAAUAUGAUUAAUUAAUUGUUUAAUUAUCUCGAUCCCAAAAUUUUGAUUUAAUUUUGACGACUAUAAUUGCUAGAUUUAUGAGACAUUGCAUAUAAUAUUAGAUAUUAUACAUAGGAAACAUUUAUGCGAUGAAUGUUUGUGGAUGAUUAUGGACUCGACCAUAUGGAUGUGUUGAAUGGUUGAUUUACUUCUUAUUGUUGUUGUGGGCCUGCGAGCUCCUUAUUAAAUAUUGGACCUGCGAGUUCGUUGGUAUUAUUAUUUUUAUGGGCCUGCGAGUCCGAUUUCUUUUAGGCCUGCAUGCCAAUUAGUAUAGGAUACAUGUUGCAAGUAAAGCUAAUUGGAGGUGCAAGAAGAGGUGGACACCAUGGAGAUGGUGUAUUGGUAUUGGUCCAAUACUGUACCCCUUAGGAAUUGACCAACUAGUUUUCCUUUUGACUCGAGAAAACUAGAUAGAAUAAGUCCAUAAUCAUUCAUACUAUUAUUUAUAUAUAUGUGUAUUUAUUCGCAUAGUAGAUGUACGUUUAAAUAUAUAUAUAUAUAUAUAAUUGUUUGAUGAGACCAUUGCACAUUAAAUCCCUCGUUAAAAAUUAUUAAGUUAGUAUUAUUUGCCUUCCAUCAUUAUAGUGAAAAACGAGAAUCCUAAAUCGACCUUAGCUUGUUGAGUACACUCAAGGCUGGUCUAUUAGGGAUAUGUUUGACACUAUGAAAUAUUUGAUAUUUCUGAAUGAUGGGUUUAACUUAACUAAAAUUUAUCUUUUGUUGAGUACACUCAAGGAGAUAAGUUUUAUAGGCAUGUUAAGCUAACACAUAAGAUGUAUGAAGACAAAAGAGUUGUCGGUUUAAUGAUCUGGGAGUUGUAUGGAGAUACAAUUGAUAAUAAAAUCUACCCAAAUGUUUUAUUAGGAUUUUUUGAGUACACUCAAGAUCUCGAUACAACGAAUGUGAUCCCAACCCACUGUGAAUCAAGUGUGGAUUCAAAUAAUUUAUGUAUGAGGGUCAUGAAUUUAUUUUGGACAGUGGGAGUACGUUUAAUUAAAAUCCAUAUUGAAUUUAUGCACAUGCAUUAUAAUACAUAUUAAUUCUAUUUUUUUCGUCAUUUACAGUUUUUGAAUCAUGAGUAAUCAUAUAAAUUUGAGAGACAUACUGGAUGCCAACAAAUUGACCGGACCAAAUUUUCUCGAUUGGCACUGUAAUUUGAGAAUCGUUCUCAAACAUGAGAAAAUUGGAUAUGUCCUUGAGCAGUCCUUUCUAGUGGUGCCUACUGAAAAUUUCACUCAGGAAGAGGUGGCUGCUUACAAUAAACACAGUGAUGACGAUAACACAGCAGCAUGUGUGAUGCUUGCAGCUAUGUCUCCUGAGUUGCAGAAGCAACAUGAGGGUAUGGAUACUUACACUAUGAUUUUUCAUUUCAAGGAGUUGUAUGAUGAACAAUCUCGUGUGGAGAGGUAUGAGACCUCUAAACAACUGUACCGGUGCAAAAUGGCAGAAGGAUCAUCAGUCAGUGCUCACGUGCUGAAGAUGAUUGGUUUUAUUGAAAAACUGAGUUCACUGGGUUUUAUCAUGGAUCAUGAACUAAGUAUUGACUUGGUUCUACAAUCUCUGUCAGAUAGUUAUUCACAGUUCAUUAUGAAUUUUAACAUGAAUAAGAUCGAAUGCACACUUCCUGAGUUGCUUAAUAUGCUUAAAACUGUGGAGCCCAAUGUCAAGGCUAGCACUAGACAUGUCUUAGCUAUUCAUUCCUCCAAGGGAACUAAGAGGAAAAUCAAAGGAAGUUUUAAGGAAACAUCCAAAAAGGUUAAGGGCAAUAACAAAGCAGUCAAAGCAGGCAAGAACAAUACCAAAUCUGAUGACCCAUGUUAUCACUGUGGAGUGAAAGGUCAUUGGAAGAGGAACUGCAAGACUUACCUCGCAAGCUUGAAGGGAAAGAAGUCUUUUGAAACUUCUACUUCAGGUACUUUUGUUAUCGAGGUUAAUAUAUCUACUUCAUUAGCUUCUUGGCUAUUAGAUACCGGAUGUGGAUCUCAUAUUUGUAUAAAUAUGCAGGGACUAAAGAAAAGUAGAGCACUGCAGAAAAGAGAAGUUGACCUGCGCGUGGGAAAUGAAGCAAGAGUUGCUGCAUUAACUGUAGGGACAUACUUCUUACCACUGCAUUCAGGCUUAGUAUUAGAAUUAGAGAAUUGCUAUUUUGUUCCCGCCAUUACUAAAAAUAUUAUUUCUAUUUCGUGUUUAGACAUGAGUGGUUUUUCAAUUAAUGUUAAGAACAAUCGUUGUUCGUUUUAUAAAGAUGAGAUCUUUUAUGGUUGUGGUGUGUUGCAGAAUGGAAUUUAUAUUCUUGAUACUGAGUCGUCUAUUAUGAAUAUAGAAAAUAAAAGGCAUAAAAGUGAUAAUCUAAAUAAUACAUACCUUUGGCAUUGCAGAUUGGGUCAUAUUAACGACAAACGCAUUUCCAAGUUACAUAAAGAUAGAUACUUAGGAUCAACUGAUUUUGAAUCAUUUGACAGAUACGAGUCGUGCCUGUUAGGCAAAAUGACCAAAUUCCCUUUUACUGGAAAAGGAGAAAGAACCACAGAACUGCUGGGACUAAUACAUACUGAUGUAUGUGGACCCAUGUCAAUAACUGCCAGAGGUGGUUUCUCUUACUUCAUCACAUUCACCGAUGAUCAUUCUAGAUAUGGUUAUGUGUAUCUGAUGAAAUUCAAACAUGAAGCACUUGAAAAGUUCAAGGAACAUGCACUAAUUGCUGCGUGCUACACACUAAAUCGUGUCCCAUCUAAAUCGGUCGACAAAACUCCCUACGAGCUAUGGAGAGGAAAAAGACCAAACUUAUCUCAUAUGAAAGUUUGGGGCCGUGACGCUUAUGUAAAGCGAAAUGAAUCAGAUAAGUUUGAAGCUAAAUCUGACAAAUGUGUAUUUGUGGGAUAUCCAAAGGAGACAAUUGGAUAUCAAUUCUAUAAUCCCGUUGAGAAGAAACUGUUCAUCUCAAGGCAUGACAUAUUCCUAGAGAAAGAGUUUAUUCUAGGAGAGGGUAGUGGGAGCAAACUAGAACUUGAAGAAGUUCAAGAAUCCACAGACACUAUUGACCAAUUAGAUGAACUUGAGUCUGAUGCUACACAUGUUGGUGGACAGACUUUUGAUCAGGAUGUAGAGAAUCCUGAGGACACUCCAGCUUAGUGUAAAUCUAGCAAGAUCAUUCGACCUCCCAGAAGGUACGAAUUCACGAUUACUAAUCAAGUAUUAUUAAUCGAGGAUGAUGAACCUACAAAUUACGCAGAAGCAAAGUCAAGUAUUGAUUCGAAAUGGUGGCAAGAUGCCAUGGAAUUCGAAAUGGACUCAAUGUAUAAGAACAAGGUUUGGACCUUGGUCGACCUUCCAGGUGGGAUAAAACCGAUAAGUUGUAAAUGGGUUUACAAGAAAAAGGUCGAUGUGGAUGGAAACGUCCACACAUACAAAGUAAGGCUAGUAGCGAAGGGUUACACACAAAGACAAGGUAUUGACUUUGAUGAAACUUUUUCGCCUGUAGCCAUGCUGAAGUCCAUUCGAAUUUUGCUUGCAAUAGCUGCAUACCAUGAUUAUGAAAUAUGGCAAAUGGAUGUCAAAACUGUUUUCCUUAAUGGAAACCUGCAAGAGGAGGUGUACAUGACACAGCCUGGAGGUUUUGAAUCCAAAAGAGCCAACAAAAUAUGCAAGCUAAAUCGAUCCAUUUAUGGAUUAAAGCAAACAUCUAGGAGCUGGAAUCUUCGUUUUGAUGAAACAAUCAAAAUGUUUGAUUUUAUCAAAAAUGAAGAUGAACCGUGUGUUUAUAAGAAAACAAGUGGGAGGGCAGUCGUGUUCCUGAUAUUAUAUGUCGAUGACAUAUUAUUAAUGGGAAACGACAUCCCAAUGCUUCAAUAGGUAAAAUUAUGGUUGUCAAAGAAUUUCUCCAUGAAAGAUAUGGGAAAAUCAGCGUAUAUCUUGGGAAUCAAGAUCUAUAGAGAUAGAUCUAAAAUAUUACUAGGCUUAUCCCAAUCUUCGUACACAGAUAAAAUCUUGAGAAGAUUUAAUAUGGAAGAGUCCAAAAGAGGAUUAUGCCCCAUGUCACAUGGGAUUUACCUCUCAAGAGAUAUGUGUCCUUAAACACAUGAGGAAAGGAGUCGCAUGGACAAGAUUCCUUAUGCUUCGGCGAUAGGAUCUAUCAUGUAUGCGAUGCUAUGUACAAGACCAGAUGUUUUGUAUACUCUAAGUGUUACGAGCAGGUUUCAAGCAAACCCUGGUGAGAAACACUGGAUAGUGAUUAAGAACAUUCUUAAGUACUUGAGAAGGACUAAAGAUGUGUUCUUGAUCUAUGGCGGAAAUGAACUGAAAAUUUAGGGGUAUACUGAUGCUAGUUUUCAAACUGAUAAAGAUGAUAGCAAGUCUCAGGCAGGAUAUAUGUUUACUCUCAACAAUGGAGCGGUUAGUUGGAAAAGUUCCAAACAGGAAACAACCGCUGAUUCAACAACAGAAGCCGAGUACAUAGCUGCUUCUGAAGCAGCAAAGGAAGCUGUGUAGAUCAAGAAGUUUAUUAAUGAACUUGGAGUCGUUCCUAGUAUUGUUGAUCCCGUACCUUUGUAUUGUGAUAACAAUGGAGCCAUCGUGCAAGCGAAGGAACCGAGGUCUCAUCAAUGAUCCAAACAUGUGCUAAGGCGAUGUCAUCUCAUCAGAGAGAUUAUACAAAGGAAUGACGUAACGAUAGAGCGAGUUCCCACAGAUGAUAAUAUUACAGAUCCACUGACAAAGCCGUUGUCACAACAGAAACAUGAUCGUCAUGUGGAUGCUUAUGGUAUUAGAUAUGUGAGUGAUUGGAUCUAGUGCAAGUGGGAGUUUGUAAGUGUUAUGCCCUAGAUCCAAUCGAUUUAGGUUGUAAACGCUUUUAAUAUAUUUAAUGCAUUUGAUUUUGGCGAGAUCUAUUAUUUAUUUAAAUUAAUUUUGUAAUAAAUAAUAUUAAAUAAUAGAAUCCGAAGAUCCAAUUUUUAGGUAAUCUGUUAAUCACAAGGAAUUGUGAUUGUGAGAUACAAAUUACAUAUAAUUGGAUCUUGAAUAAACCAUGAUCGUAAGUAAUAACGAGAUACGGAUAUCGUUAAUACAGUUAGACCAUCACGUGUGGCAUUUCUUACUUGUGAAGUAAGUAGCUGAUCUCACGAGCUAAAGUGUGGUGACACUUAAAUGAACAGGUGGAUGUUUUGUUAUAGAACAAAACAUUGGAGAUCCGCUAAGAGAUUCCACAUGGAUAACUAUCUGAGUGUCAGUGGCUAAUCUCUAACGUUCGGUAGUGGAAUUAAUCCUUUGACUUGAGGUCGUCAUAGUACCUUAUAUGAGGACAGCCAUACUUUAGCGAUGUUGGAUGUUGCUCUGAAAGGGGCCGCUAAUACGACAUCGUUCGGGUACGUCAAGAAUCGUAUGAAGGUUGUGAUUGAUCAAUAAAGGAUUUGUCACUCUUAGAUAGUAGGAGAUUAUGAUCUGCGUUUCAUUCAGUUAAGUCGAUGAUGAAAUCCUUGGCCAAGGUGUACUCAUAAGUCGAAAAGGAGUUUUCGAUUUAUAUUGACUUAAUAGUGGAAUGAAAGAUAUGAUCAAUAAUCAAGAUUGACACAAUUCCAUAUCUCGUAAUUGAUCG